GGCCUCAUGGUCAAGCGGUUAAGACACUGCCCUCUCACGGCAGAAACUGGGGUUCGAUUCCCCAUGGGGCUACCA
RNAcentral lists this transfer RNA (75 nucleotides) under Clostridia bacterium. RNAcentral describes it as "tRNA-Glu". It matches the Rfam family "tRNA". From Rfam's summary of the family: Transfer RNA (tRNA) molecules are approximately 80 nucleotides in length. Lineage: Bacteria; Bacillati; Bacillota; Clostridia. The record is from RNAcentral.